This 2266-nucleotide ribosomal RNA is filed under the name Staphylococcus pseudintermedius. Its description in RNAcentral is "partial 23S ribosomal RNA". It matches the Rfam family "Bacterial large subunit ribosomal RNA", at positions 658 to 2925 of the family's 2925-position model. The record is from RNAcentral. Lineage: Bacteria; Bacillati; Bacillota; Bacilli; Caryophanales; Staphylococcaceae.
AUGUGGAGCCGUAGCGAAAGCGAGUCUGAAUAGGGCGAAUGAGUAUUUGGUCGUAGACCCGAAACCAGGUGAUCUACCCUUGGUCAGGUUGAAGUUCAGGUAACACUGAAUGGAGGACCGAACCGACUUACGUUGAAAAGUGAGCGGAUGAACUGAGGGUAGCGGAGAAAUUCCAAUCGAACUUGGAGAUAGCUGGUUCUCUCCGAAAUAGCUUUAGGGCUAGCCUCAAGUGAUGAUUAUUGGAGGUAGAGCACUGUUUGGACGAGGGGCCCCUCUCGGGUUACCGAAUUCAGACAAACUCCGAAUGCCAAAUAAUUUAACUUGGGAGUCAGAAUGUGGGUGAUAAGGUCCAUAUUCGAAAGGGAAACAGCCCAGACCACCAGCUAAGGUCCCAAAAUAUAUGUUAAGUGGAAAAGGAUGUGGCGUUGCCCAGACAACUAGGAUGUUGGCUUAGAAGCAGCCAUCAUUUAAAGAGUGCGUAAUAGCUCACUAGUCGAGUGACACUGCGCCGAAAAUGUACCGGGGCUAAACAUAUUACCGAAGCUGUGGAUUGUCCUUUGGACAAUGGUAGGAGAGCGUUCUAAGGGCGUUGAAGCAUGAUCGCAAGGACAUGUGGAGCGCUUAGAAGUGAGAAUGCCGGUGUGAGUAGCGAAAGACGGGUGAGAAUCCCGUCCACCGAUUGACUAAGGUUUCCAGAGGAAGGCUCGUCCGCUCUGGGUUAGUCGGGUCCUAAGCUGAGGCCGACAGGCGUAGGCGAUGGAUAACAGGUUGAUAUUCCUGUACCACCAUUAUUCGUUUUAAGCGAUGGGGGGACGCAGUAGGAUAGGCGAAGCGUGCUGUUGGAGUGCACGUCCAAGCAGUGAGAUUGAGUGUUAGGCAAAUCCGGCACUCUUAAGAUUGAGCUGUGAUGGGGAGAGGAACUUGUUCCUCGAGUCGUUGAUUUCACACUGCCGAGAAAAGCCUCUAGCUAGAAUAACGGUGCCCGUACCGCAAACCGACACAGGUAGUCAAGAUGAGAAUUCUAAGGUGAGCGAGCGAACUCUCGUUAAGGAACUCGGCAAAAUGACCCCGUAACUUCGGGAGAAGGGGUGCUCUUUGAGGUUCACGCUUCGAAGAGCCGCAGUGAAUAGGCCCAAGCGACUGUUUAUCAAAAACACAGGUCUCUGCUAAACCGUAAGGUGACGUAUAGGGGCUGACGCCUGCCCGGUGCUGGAAGGUUAAGAGGAGUGGUUAGCGCAAGCGAAGCUACGAAUCGAAGCCCCAGUAAACGGCGGCCGUAACUAUAACGGUCCUAAGGUAGCGAAAUUCCUUGUCGGGUAAGUUCCGACCCGCACGAAAGGCGUAACGAUUUGGGCACUGUCUCAACGAGAGACUCGGUGAAAUCAUAGUACCGGUGAAGAUGCCGGUUACCCGCGACAGGACGGAAAGACCCCGUGGAGCUUUACUGUAGCCUGAUAUUGAAAUUCGGUACAGUUUGUACAGGAUAGGUAGGAGCCUUAGAAGCGUGAGCGCUAGCUUACGUGGAGGCAUUGGUGGGAUACUACCCUAAUUGUAUUGGAUUUCUAACCCGCAGCACUUAUCGUGCUGGGAGACAGUGUCAGGCGGGCAGUUUGACUGGGGCGGUCGCCUCCUAAAGAGUAACGGAGGCGCUCAAAGGUUCCCUCAGAAUGGUUGGAAAUCAUUCAUAGAGUGUAAAGGCAUAAGGGAGCUUGACUGCGAGACCUACAAGUCGAGCAGGGUCGAAAGACGGACUUAGUGAUCCGGUGGUUCCGCAUGGAAGGGCCAUCGCUCAACGGAUAAAAGCUACCCCGGGGAUAACAGGCUUAUCUCCCCCAAGAGUUCACAUCGACGGGGAGGUUUGGCACCUCGAUGUCGGCUCAUCGCAUCCUGGGGCUGUAGUCGGUCCCAAGGGUUGGGCUGUUCGCCCAUUAAAGCGGUACGCGAGCUGGGUUCAGAACGUCGUGAGACAGUUCGGUCCCUAUCCGUCGUGGGCGUAGGAAAUUUGAGAGGAGCUGUCCUUAGUACGAGAGGACCGGGAUGGACAUACCUCUGGUGUACCAGUUGUCGUGCCAACGGCAUAGCUGGGUAGCUAUGUAUGGACGGGAUAAGUGCUGAAAGCAUCUAAGCAUGAAGCCCCCCUCGAGAUGAGAUUUCCCAACUUCGGUUAUAAGAUCCCUCAAAGAUGAUGAGGUGAAUAGGUUCGAGGUGGAAGCGUAGCGAUACGUGGAGCUGACGAAUACUAAUCGAUCGAAGACUUAAUCAAUAU